This is a long non-coding RNA of Globicephala melas (long-finned pilot whale), 3367 nucleotides long. RefSeq lists it as uncharacterized. Lineage: Eukaryota; Metazoa; Chordata; Mammalia; Artiodactyla; Delphinidae. The record is from RefSeq and is a predicted model, not a curated record.
GACCUUGUUAUUUAUCCUCACGUCUGCUUCUGCAAUCAAUCUCUUGCAAUCGUCAUUUUUGUUGACCUCUGUGAAGAAAAUCUAGCAGGUGGAAGAAGGGGUGUAAUUUAAUAGUGAGUUCAGGCCACACGGGAGGACGAGCUUCAGCAGGGUUGACCAUAACCACGGAAGAGAGAGCAUCCCCCACGCCCGACACGGUCCCGAGGUCAGAGUCUGAUGUGGGUCUCACGGGGCCAAUGUCAAGGUGUGGGCAGGGCUGAGUUCCCUCUGGAAGCUCCAGGAGAGAAUCCGUUUCCUGCCCUUUUUCAGCUUCUAGAGGUGCCCACGUUCCUUGGCUCGUGACCCCUUCCUUCUAUUUCCAAGCCAGCAGGGUAGCAUCUUCCAACCUCUCGCUGACUCUGACCUCCUACUUUCUCUCGUGACCCUUGUGAUGACCUUGGACAUACAGAGAAAAUCCAGGAACAUCUCCCCAUCUCAAGAUUCUUAACUAAUCCCAUCUGCAAAGUCCCUUUUGUCAUAGAAGGCAGCGUAUUCACAGAUUAUGGGAAUCAGGAUGUGGACAUCUUGGGGGGUGUUAUCGUGACACCACAGUGGUCGAGAGCGUGGCCACUGGAGCAGACUGGCUCUGCCAUUUGCUGCCUGUGGGGCCUUGGACAAGUCAUUUCACCUCUCCACGCCUCAGUUUCCCCAUCUGUAGAGAGAAGACAAUGACAGUCCUACCCCAUCAGGCUGCUGGAAGGGUCAGUGAGGUCAUAGCCAUACGUUCCUCAGGGCAGGCCGGGCACUCGACAAGGGCUGGGUGGAGGUUUGCACUUGUGGGACCAUCAGAGCUACGGGGGGGGUGGACUUUACUGGCCGUGGACCUGGGGCAGGGGCCAGAUGCCCUCUGCAGCCCAGGAACCUGGUGCUGACAGGGCCCAGGUGGCCCUCCAGCGCCCUGUCUGGGCUGCUCUGGUCAGCUCUGAGUGAUAAACGUGCAGCCCCGGAGGGGAGGCUCGUCUGCGCCCCAGAGCCCCCAGGGCCAGCCACCUUCUCCCACCUCCACCCGGGGGAGCUUCCCGAGGAGCUGGGGAGGAGCCUGGGGGCGGCACCCAGGCAGCAGGCCACAGGGAGUUGUCCCGGUCCAACCCCCUAUUGUGCAGGUGGGGAGACGAGAGAAGGAUGAGCCAGCUAAGGUGGCCCAGGUGCUACUGGUCUCCUGACUCCCGGCCCCCUGCUGUUUCCACAGCCCCUUGUGGCAAAUGUCGAGGGAUGUGGGUAGUGGCCAUGUUUCUGGAAUCUCCCCUGGCCACGGCCCAGGUAGCUGGGGAGGGACUGCCCCCUGAGAUCACCCAUCCAUCUGUCCGUCGUCCCCUCCUAAGGGCAGUGCUGGUCACACCACACUCGAAGACCCUCAGGCGUGCCCUGGGAGGGUGCAGGAGGGCAGGGAGUGGCUGGGGGCGCCAGGGCCACACACAGCUUUUUCUUGGAUUUAACACGUUUACAUGAAAGGACUUGCGUUCCCUUCAGUGUCACGUCUUCCCGUAUCACUGGGAAGUCACGGGCGCUGAGUGUGCACUUGGAGCAUGGGUCAUCCAUUGGCCGAGUGGUGGAGAAGAGACAGAAUCCGAAUUUCUCUGUCCCACCCCACCCCGCUCAAAGCCUCCAUUUUUCUCUGUUAAUAUAUAAUGUAUCUGCAUUUCUCUAAUGCGUUGUGAUGUUGAGCAUCCUUUCAUGUGUCUGUUCCGAUCUGUAGGUCUUCUUUGGAGAAAUGUCUGUUUAGGUCUUCUGCCCGUUUUUGCAUUGGGCUGUUUUCUUGAUAUUGAGCUGCAUGAGCUGCUUCUAAAUUUUGGAGAUUAAUCCUUUGUCAGUUGCUUCAUUUGCAAAUGUUUUCUCCCAUUCUGAGGGUUGUCUUUUCGUCUUGUUUAUGGUUUCCUUUGCUGUGCAAAAGCUUUUAAGUUUCUUUAGGUCCCGUUUUUUAAUUUUUGUUUUUAUUUCCAUUUCUCUACGAGGUGGGUCAAAAAGGAUCUUUCUGUGAUUUAUGUCAUAGAGCGUUCUGCCUUUGUUUUCCUCUAAGAGUUUUAUAGUGUCUGGCCUUACAUUUAGGUCUUUAAUCCAUUUUGAGUUUAUUUUUGCGUAUGGUGUUAGGAAGUGUUCCUUUUUUAAAAAACUAAUUAAUUAAUUAAUUAAUUUAUUUUUGGCUGUGUUGGGUCUUCUUUGCUGCGUGUGGGCUUUCUCUAGUUGCGGCGAGUGGGGGCUAUUCAUUGCGGUACGUGGGCUUCUCAUUGCGGUGGCUUCUCUUUUUGCGGAGCACGGGCUCUAGGCACACAGGCUUCAGUAGUUGUGGCUCGCAGGCUCAGUAGCUGUGGCUCGUGGGCUCUAGAGCGCAGGAUCAGUAGUUGUGGCUCACGGUCUUAGUUGCUCCAUGGCAUGUGGGAUCUUCCCGGACCAGGGCCCAAACCUGUGUCCCCUGCACUGGCAGGUGGAUUCCUAAGCACUGUACCACCAGGGAAGUCCCAGGAAGUGUUCUAAUUUCAUUGUUUUACAUGUAGCUGUCCAGUUUUCCCAGCAGCACUUAUUGAAGAGGCUGUCUUUUCUCCAUUGUAUAUUCUUGCCUCCUUUAUCAAAGAGAAGGUGACCAUAUGUGCGUGGGUUUAUCUCUGGGCUUUCUAUCCUGUUCCAUUGAUCUAUAUUUCUGUUUUUGUGCCAGCCACACCCAUCAGAAUGGCCAUCAUCAAAAAAUCUACAAACAAUAAAUGCUAGAGAAGGUGUGGAGAAAAGGGAACCCUCUUGCACUGCUGGUGGGAAUGUAAAUUGAUAUAGCCACUAUGGAGAACACUAUGGAGGUUCUUUAAAAAACUAAAAAUAGAACUACCAUACGACCCAGCAAGCCCACUACAGGGCAUAUAUCCUGAGAAAACAAUAAUUCAAAAGAAACACGUACCACAGUGUUCACUGCAGCACUAUUUACAACAGCCAGGACAUGGAAGCAACCUGUGUCCAUCGACAGAUGAAUGGAUAAAGAAGAUGUGGCACAUAUAUACAAUGGAAUAUUACUCAGCUCUAAAAAGAAAUGAAAUUGAGUUAUUUGUAGUGAGGUGGAUGGACCUAGAGUCUGUCAUACAGAGUGAAGUAAGUCAGAAAGAGAGAAACAAAUACCAUAUGCUAACACAUAUAUAUGGAAUCUAAAAAAAAAAAGGUUCUGAUGAACCUAGGGACAGGACAGGAAUAAAGACGCAGAUGAAGAGAAUGGACUUGAGGACACAGGGAGGGGGAAGAGUAAGCUGGGACAAAGUGAGAGAGUGGCAUGGACAUAUAUACACUACCAAAUGUAAAAUAGAUAGCUAGCGGGAAGCAGCCGCAUAGCACAGGGAGAUCAGCUCGGUGC